RNAcentral lists this long non-coding RNA (928 nucleotides) under Jatropha curcas. RNAcentral's name for it is "long non-coding RNA (JCUR_LNC001764)". Lineage: Eukaryota; Viridiplantae; Streptophyta; Magnoliopsida; Malpighiales; Euphorbiaceae. The record is from RNAcentral.
CAAAAAAAAAAAAAAAAAAAAAAAAAAAACAAAAACAAACACUAAAUUUAAACAUUACCAGAGCAAGGAGGAGCACUCGCCUGUAAGUAAAUGGGAGAAGCAAUGUUCUUUCCAUACACAUACAGCUACCUACAAAGCUUCAUUCUAGCAGUGGAAUAUUAAAUAUUCUCCUGCACUUAUUACACAUUUCUUUCUUUUAAUAAUUUACACUUCUUACAUUUCUUACACAUUUCUUUCUUUUCAUAAUUUACACUUCUUAUACCUCUUACACCUAACACAAGAAUAUUUUCCUUUCCCAUAAACAUCUCUUUCAUAUUAUUGCACUAACAAUGACACAAUAGCAAUUUUUUCUGGCGUGGGAUUCUCACCCAUUAAAUUACUACAGUUUAAGUGUAACGAUUGAAACUUUGCGUUCGUGUGGGAAUCUUGCCAAAGAAUAUAUUCCAUUGUGACAUUGUUUCACUUAUAGUGUAACAUUCAACUCAAAGAGAGAGAAAAGAGAAUAUUGGUUUGUAAAGCUGCUGGACAACGACAAUGUUAAAAUAAAUUAAAAUUUAUUGGUUUGUUGCAGUCAUAGUGUAACAAUGCAUUUGUUACACUAUGACUGCAACAAACCAAUAAAUUUAAAUUUAUUGGUUUGUUGCAGUCAUAGUGUAACAAUGCAUUUGUUACACUAUGAAUAGAACAAAAGCCUUUGAAAUGUCAACAAAACACCAUUCUGGUAAAUACUUUUCACAUAACACUAUUUUGGGAAUUAUUUUUUCUCAGAACACCAUUUGGGGAAAAAGCCCUACAAAGUGCCAGUCAAUGGAUUUAGGCAGAGUCUUUUAUUCAAAUUGUCAGUCAAAAGAAAAAAGAAACCUAAGAAAUUGCAUAGCUUUUGUAAUUUUCCUCUCCUUAACAUUCCUAUGGUGUUUUUUGCUCUGCU